Molecule: ribosomal RNA, 475 nt
Filed under: uncultured soil bacterium
Lineage: Bacteria
Description: bacterial SSU rRNA
Rfam family: Bacterial small subunit ribosomal RNA
Source: RNAcentral
AGGACGAACGCUGGCGGCGUGCUUAACACAUGCAAGUCGAGCGGUAAGGCCUUUCGGGGUACACGAGCGGCGAACGGGUGAGUAACACGUGGGUGAUCUGCCCUGCACUCUGGGAUAAGCCUGGGAAACUGGGUCUAAUACCGGAUAUGACCUGCUCUCGCAUGGGGGUGGGUGGAAAGAUUUAUCGGUGCAGGAUGGGCCCGCGGCCUAUCAGCUUGUUGGUGGGGUAAUGGCCUACCAAGGCGACGACGGGUAGCCGACCUGAGAGGGUGACCGGCCACACUGGGACUGAGACACGGCCCAGACUCCUACGGGAGGCAGCAGUGGGGAAUAUUGCACAAUGGGCGAAAGCCUGAUGCAGCGACGCCGCGUGAGGGAUGGAAGGCCUUCGGGUUGUAAACCUCUUUACAGCAGGACGAAGCGCAAGUGACGUACUGCAGAAGAAGCACCGGCUAACUACGUGCCAGCAAGCCGC